UGCGAUAAGCGCCGGUAAGGUGAUAUGAACCGUUAUAACCGGCGAUUUCCGAAUGGGGAAACCCAGUGUGAUUCGUCACACUAUCAUUAACUGAAUCCAUAGGUUAAUGAGGCGAACCGGGGGAACUGAAACAUCUAAGUACCCCGAGGAAAAGAAAUCAACCGAGAUUCCCCCAGUAGCGGCGAGCGAACGGGGAGGAGCCCAGAGCCUGAAUCAGCAUGUGUGUUAGUGGAAGCGUCUGGAAAGGCGCGCGAUACAGGGUGACAGCCCCGUACACAAAAGCGCAUGUGCUGUGAGCUCGAUGAGUAGGGCGGGACACGUGGUAUCCUGUCUGAAUAUGGGGGGACCAUCCUCCAAGGCUAAAUACUCCUGACUGACCGAUAGUGAACCAGUACCGUGAGGGAAAGGCGAAAAGAACCCCGGCGAGGGGAGUGAAAAAGAACCUGAAACCGUGUACGUACAAGCAGUGGGAGCACAGGUUUACCUGUGUGACUGCGUACCUUUUGUAUAAUGGGUCAGCGACUUAUAUUCUGUAGCAAGGUUAACCGAAUAGGGGAGCCGGAGGGAAACCGAGUCUUAAUUGGGCGUUAAGUUGCAGGGUAUAGACCCGAAACCCGGUGAUCUAGCCAUGGGCAGGUUGAAGGUUGGGUAACACUAACUGGAGGACCGAACCGACUAAUGUUGAAAAAUUAGCGGAUGACCUGUGGCUGGGGGUGAAAGGCCAAUCAAACCGGGAGAUAGCUGGUUCUCCCCGAAAGCUAUUUAGGUAGCGCCUCGUGAAUUCAUCUCCGGGGGUAGAGCACUGUUUCGGCUAGGGGGCCAUCCCGGCUUACCAACCCGAUGCAAACUGCGAAUACCGGAGAAUGUUAUCACGGGAGACACACGGCGGGUGCUAACGUCCGUCGUGAAGAGGGAAACAACCCAGACCGCCAGCUAAGGUCCCAAAGUCAUGGUUAAGUGGGAAACGAUGUGGGAAGGCCCAGACAGCCAGGAUGUUGGCUUAGAAGCAGCCAUCAUUUAAAGAAAGCGUAAUAGCUCACUGGUCGAGUCGGCCUGCGCGGAAGAUGUAACGGGGCUAAACCAU
Molecule: ribosomal RNA, 1084 nt
Filed under: Salmonella enterica subsp. enterica
Lineage: Bacteria; Pseudomonadati; Pseudomonadota; Gammaproteobacteria; Enterobacterales; Enterobacteriaceae
Description: partial 23S ribosomal RNA
Rfam family: Bacterial large subunit ribosomal RNA
Source: RNAcentral